UGAUGUUGACACUUAAUUUCCAGAUGU
RNAcentral lists this non-coding RNA (27 nucleotides) under Rattus norvegicus (Norway rat). The record is from RNAcentral. Lineage: Eukaryota; Metazoa; Chordata; Mammalia; Rodentia; Muridae.